Non-coding RNA from Schizosaccharomyces pombe (fission yeast), 920 nucleotides. The record is from the annotation of a GenBank genome assembly. NCBI's taxonomy places the organism in Eukaryota, Fungi, Ascomycota, Schizosaccharomycetes, Schizosaccharomycetales, Schizosaccharomycetaceae.
UAAUUUAAAUACUAAAUGGUUAUUCAGUUUAGGUUAAAAAAAAAGUGGAUUAUCCUUAAGAUAAUAUUUGAUGAAAACCCAAAUUUCACGUGGAACUGACGACAUUUUGCAAAGCGAGAAUCUAUUUAGCACGGUAAACAUCAAAUGAAAUUGGUUGAAUAACCUCUUCAUUAUAAUAAUUUAUAUAGCGAUAUUUGCGCCCCUGCUUGCCACUUUUUCUUUUGUGUAUAUUUUUUUAAAUAGUAGUAUAGCGCACAAGUUUCAUCUGUAAUACUAUUAAUAUGCAUACUGAGCAAGAUAUGUUCGCUGGUGGAGGAAUCUUACAAAAGCCGUUAUAAUUUGGCCUAAUUAAAUAAAUCACUGUUGUACUAUUAUAGUGAAAAAUGACAAGCGUCUGCAUGAAUGCGAAUUUAUAUCCUUUCAGUCUAUAGUUGCCUUGUGAUAGAAUUAACUCAUACAGUGUGUCACGUUUAAAGCAACUAAAAAGGCAUAGUGGUAAGAAGGCGAAAACAUACUAGUCAGGUAUUCUUUUCUAGCUACUUUAAAAAAGCUUCCAUUUCGUGGCUGUUGUCGAGUAUGCAAAUAACUGAAAUGUCAAUUGUUGGAACAUGAAUGACAAUCAUGCUGAAUAAUUGUAACCACACAAUUCAUUUUUGUACUAUGCACAUUGACCACUUCUUAUUUUCCUCUUUGGUGUUUGUACAGUUAAAUUUUGUUCGCCAUACAUCUCCUUAAAUGGUAUAGCGAUAAGCACCGACAGCUAGAAAUAUGUCAACUAUUAUAAUGUGAUGUACGCAAAUGUUAGUAGAAUCUUACAUUUACUGUUUUCCUUCUGCUUUUUCUAUGGAUGAUGAAUGUAGCUAAGAAUCAGUUUUACGUUAAUCUGUAAUCACAAACCGCUCAUACAAAAGAAGUAAUCU